Molecule: ribosomal RNA, 830 nt
Filed under: Acinetobacter calcoaceticus
Lineage: Bacteria; Pseudomonadati; Pseudomonadota; Gammaproteobacteria; Moraxellales; Moraxellaceae
Description: bacterial SSU rRNA
Rfam family: Bacterial small subunit ribosomal RNA
Source: RNAcentral
AAUAUGACCAUGCGCGCCAGCUGAUCCCAGCCAUGCUGCGUGUGUGCAGACGUCUUAUGGUAGUACAGCACUUCAGCGAGGAGGACGCUACUCUAGUUAUACCUAGGGAUAGUGGACGUUACUCGCAGAAUAGCACGGCUAACUCUGUGCCAGCAGCCGCGGUAAUACAGAGGGUGCAGCGUUAUGGGAUUUACUGGGCGUAAAGCGCGCGUAGGCGGCUAAUUAAGUCAAAUGUGAAAUCCCCGAGCUUAACUUGGGAAUUGCAUUCGAUACUGGUGAGCUAGAGUGUGGGAGAGGAUGGUAGAAUUCCAGGUGUAGCGGUGAAAUGCGUAGAGAUCUGGAGGAAUACCGAUGGCGAAGGCAGCCAUCUGGCCUCACACUGACGCUGAGGUGCGAAAGCAUGGGGAGCAAACAGGAUUAGAUACCCUGGUAGUCCAUGCCGUAAACGAUGUCUACUAGCCGUUGGGGCCUCUGAGGCUUUAGUGGCGCAGCUAACGCGAUAAGUAGACCGCCUGGGGAGUACGGUCGCAAGACUAAAACUCAAAUGAAUUGACGGGGGCCCGCACAAGCGGUGGAGCAUGUGGUUUAAUUCGAUGCAACGCGAAGAACCUUACCUGGCCUUGACAUAGUAAGAACUUUCCAGAGAUGGAUUGGUGCCUUCGGGAACUUACAUACAGGUGCUGCAUGGCUGUCGUCAGCUCGUGUCGUGAGAUGUUGGGUUAAGUCCCGCAACGAGCGCAACCCUUUUCCUUAUUUGCCAGCGAGUAAUGUCGGGAACUUUAAGGAUACUGCCAGUGACAAACUGGAGGAAGGCGGGGACGACGUCAAGU